Molecule: ribosomal RNA, 508 nt
Filed under: uncultured Trichocomaceae
Lineage: Eukaryota; Fungi; Ascomycota; Eurotiomycetes; Eurotiales; Trichocomaceae
Description: eukaryotic LSU rRNA
Rfam family: 5.8S ribosomal RNA (bases 172-326)
Source: RNAcentral
GGAUCAUUAUAGAGGGCUACGGCUCCCUGUUUGAUAUUACCAAAUUGAUAUUUUCUUCUCUGUUGCUUCCACCUUCUAUGACCCUGUUAUAGAUAGUGGGAGGUUYUUUCAAUACUAUUUUUCUUGCUGAGACUUUUGAAUUGUCUGAAUAUAUGAGGGAAAAUGCUAUAAAACUUUCAACAACGGAUCUCUUGGCUCCUGCAUCGAUGAAGAACGCAGCGAAAUGCGAUAAUUAAUGUGAAUUGCAGAAUUCCGUGAAUCAUCGAGUCUUUGAACGCACAUUGCGCCUCAUSGCAUUUCCGUGAGGCAUGCCCAUCUCAGCGUUAGAAAAUAUUCUCAAAUUUUAGUYUUGUGCUAAAAUUUGGAUCAUGUCAAGGAAGCUAUUACUAUUAUUGUGAUCGCUCUUUGGAAAUUAAUAGGUCUUUGAGUUACUACUCAUAGAACGUGAUGAAUCUUUCUUCGUUCUAUUGUAGUUCACUCUGGUAGUCCUAAAACUUGUAUGCCUGUA